This is a long non-coding RNA of Pan troglodytes (chimpanzee), 3516 nucleotides long. RefSeq lists it as uncharacterized. NCBI's taxonomy places the organism in Eukaryota, Metazoa, Chordata, Mammalia, Primates, Hominidae. The transcript is spliced from 6 exons. The record is from RefSeq and is a predicted model, not a curated record.
GAGGGAGGAGCAGGAAGCAAAGGAGCAGGAAGUAAAGCGGGAAAGGAAAGCAGAGCAGCAAGCACAACAGGAACAGGAAGUAAAGCAGGAGCAGAAACUAAAGGGGGAAAAGGAAGUAAAGCAGGAGCCGGAAAGAGGCAGGAACAGGAAGUAAAGCAGGAACCAGAGGGAAGCAGGGCAACAGGUCCUCCCUUCCACUCAUCCUUGCAGCCUCCUCUAGCCUACCAGUGGCCAGUCCAGCAGGGAGACCCUGGCAAGGCAAAAAUGAGGCUCCCAAGCACCAGGCCAGCCCCAGAAAAUGGGUGCAGCAGAAGCUCGAUGUUGAAAGUCAGUGGCUUCCAAGUAGCACAUGCAUGGAAACUCCAGGACCACCAGAAGGAAAAGCUUCACGGUCCCCUGCCUCCUGCCCUUGAGAAAGCAUCCUUGGUGUGUGUUGAGUGACAGCUGAUGCUCGCCCAGCGCCUGCCGUGUGCCAGGAGGCAUCCUAAAUACCUCCAGUCUUUUAAUUCAGCUAUCCCCAACAAUGCAACGCUAUGGGGUGGGUGUCACGGUCACCCCCCUUUCACAGAUGAAGAGACUGAGGUAUAGAGCUAAACAAGGCUCCGGGUCACUCCAGGGCUGGGACUGUGACGAGGCAAGUGAGGCGCCUGGGGCCCAGAAUUUAAGAAGGCACCCUGCUCAGGGGUCUGCCUGCAGGUGCACUGCCCCUGGCACCUCACUCCCCUCCCCCCAAGCCCAGCGCUAGGCCACACAGCUAGUGAGUGGCAGACACUGAAUUUAAAUGACAGCAGUCCAGCUGCAGGCUCCCUGCUCAGAACCACUAUAUGAAGUGCAUCAAAUACCUUGAGUUUAAGAAAGUCCAGUAUAUGGCACAAAAAUAUACACAUGCAAGAGCUCACUAAAUGCAGCCAGAUUCCAUCAUCUGAAUAUGAGUUAUCCAUUUCAGUAAUAGCCUUGGCCAGCAUUUAACCCCAGGACAGCUUCCUUCUGGCACCUAGCCUGCUGCUGGGAUGUCUUCCUCCUUUUCACCCCUCAACCUCCCUCAUGUAUUAGGGAGACUGAUUUUAAAAGUUGGCUCAAAGUGCUGGGAUUACAGGAGCGAGCCACCGCACCCAGCUCUUCUUUGAGUUUUUAAGGCCAUAUAAGCUGUGGAUGUUAUAGGAUUUCUUAUUUCCCUGGGCAGCAACUGGGCCUCUAUUGAGACCCAAAUGCCCUCUUCAGAGGGAACUACGAGGUCAACAAGCACAAUCCCCACAUGUGCAGUGAAGUCUCCAUACGUCCACUCUGGAGGAGGAGAUGACAAGGCAGGGAGGCUGUCAUUUCCUACUUGGGCUGGCCCUUCUAGGGACGGUCUGCUCUGGCCCCUCUGUGAUUCCAGUCAGCAGCCUAGCAUGUCACCCUGGGAGGACCGCAGGAACUAGCAAAUCCAAUAUUCUGCUUACAAAUGGGGAGACGGAGGCCCCAAGAAGAAAGCUAAGAGGUACCAUCAUCAAAGGUCUGCCUCCACCCCAAGAGGACCCUGUGGACGUGGUGCCCCAGGCUCCACCAUCCCCAGGAGAAGAGUGCCAUGCUUGGACUCGUUUUUGCUGUUUCUGGGACAGUGGUGCCAUUCCCCUCCCGUGACUGACUCCUGCGUGCAGUCCCUAUAUCUGCCCAUCACCCCCGGGGCACUGUCCACAGCAUUCUGUUGAUUUCCUCCACACUGUCUAACACAACCUGAAACAACCUCAUCUGCCCACCACGUCUCAUCUGUGCCUCCCUGCCUGGAACGGAGCUGCAGGAAGGCAGCGAUGUUUGUCUGGAGGUGAGCACUGCGGUGGGCAUUUGCCCCGCACGUGGUGGGUGACCAUUGGGCGGGUGGGCACCCCCUGAGGCCUCAGAGCAGCAGACGCCCCUCCCUGAGCCUGGUUGGGCCUGCACCACAAGCAGCACCCAGGUCCCUCUCCACACACAGCUCAGUGCAGGCCGUGAGCAAGUGGCCGCAUCCACGCUGCUGACCACCUGCCUGGCAUGGCGUCUGGUAAACAGCAGAUGGAUAUUGGCGUAGAUGUGCCACCUCGAAUUGCUGGAUUGGGCAGAACCCUGCUAGAGCCCAUCCAGUUGCAGACACAAACCCAGGGCCCAGCAGAUGGUGCUGUCUGCUAGGACGAGGCUGGAGAGCAGUCGCUCCAUCCAGUCACCGUUUCCCGCAUCUGGAUGCCUGCAUCAUCCCCUGGACAGCCAUGCAGAACCCGCGCUGUGCAGGCAUUGGAGGGCCGGGGACAGGAGGCUAACCCUCUAUGGUGGGGUCCAGGCUGCCCCGCACAGCAUCCUGCAAGGCAAGUUCCGCACCGCGACCACAGGCGGCCACAGCCCCGCCACUGAGCACUCGGGGGCAGCCGCGGUGCAGGAGCAGAAGUUUCUGUCUCACUUUGUUUUUAUUUCAGUGUCCACCCCCUGGUUGCGGGUUCCCUGUUCGCUGGUGCAGGUCUAUGAGGAGGAAACACACAGAAACCAAAAGAUGGAAUCAGGCUGUCUCGGGCCACUUCCUUCCGCCACAGCUCUGCCUGGAGUGCCAGCCCCAGCACAGGUGAAUACACAGAACCAGCGCCUCCCUCCUGGAGCUUUCCUGGGGAGACCAGUGAGGGUGAACAAGGAAGUGGAUAGAGAACUCCCCACAGCUAGCACGCGGCGCUCCCAGGGAAGAGCAUGCCAGGCUGGAGGCCCUGCGGAGGGGACAAGCUCGGCAGCUUGGAGGACCAGAGAGAAAUCCAGCUCCUGCCUCCUAACUCACACAGCCCUGGUUAUAGCCUUUUGUUAUCACGUUGGGGCAGUUUAGGCCUCAGGAAACUGAAUCUCAAGACCCUAAUCUGACUGUGGGUCAGAAGAUACUCAUUCCAGGGCGGGUUCUGCCCCAUCCCCUAGAGGAAGAAAUGCUGCCGAGAAGCUGAGAAGAGUCUGGGCCAGGCGUGGUGGCUCACGCCUGUAAUCCCAACACUGGGAGCCCAAGGCAGGCAGAUCACCUGAAGUCAGGAGUUCGAGGCCAGCCUGGCCAACAUGGCAAAACCCCAUCUGUACUAAAAAUACAAAAAUUAGUCGGGCAUGGUGGCACGUGCCUGUAAAACCAGCUACUGGGGGUGCUGAGCCAGGAGAAUUGCUUGAACCUGGAAGGCAGAGGUUGCAGUGAGCCGAGAUCACACCACUACACUCCAGCCUGGGUGACAAAGUGAGGCUCCAUCUCAAAAAAAAAAAAAAAAGAAGAAUCUGGACAGACAAGCCCUGCUGAGUUUACACCACACCCUAUUUAUCCAGUUGCAUUUCUACGUGGUUGUCAAUCAUUCCUGUCCAAUGAUGUCUCCAUCAAAGGCCCAAGAGGACAGGGUUCAGGGACCUUUCAGAAAGCUGAGCACGCAGAGGCUCCUGGAGGGGCUGCCCAGGGAGGGCAUGGCAGCUCCACGCCCCUUCCCCGUACCUCGUCUGUGCAUCUCUUCAUGUAUAUUCUUUGCAAUAUCACUUAUAAUAAACCAGGAAACGUGU